Molecule: small RNA, 125 nt
Filed under: Marmota monax (woodchuck)
Lineage: Eukaryota; Metazoa; Chordata; Mammalia; Rodentia; Sciuridae
Source: RNAcentral
GCUGGGCGUGGUGGCGCACGCUUGCAAUCCCAGCAGCUUGGGAGGCUGAAGCAGGAGGAUCAUGAGUUCAAAGCCAGCCUCAGCAAUGGCAAGGCCCUAAGCAAUUCAGUGAGACCCUGUCUCUA